GAUGAACGCUGACAGAAUGCUUAACACAUGCAAGUCAACUUGAACUUCGGUUUGGGUGGCGGACGGGUGAGUAACGCGUAAAGAACUUGCCUCACAGCUAGGGACAACAUUUGGAAACGAAUGCUAAUACCUGAUAUUAUGAUUAUAUGGCAUCGUAUAAUUAUGAAAGCUAUAUGCGCUGUGAGAGAGCUUUGCGUCCCAUUAGCUAGUUGGAGAGGUAACAGCUCACCAAGGCGAUGAUGGGUAGCCGGCCUGAGAGGGUGAUCGGCCACAAGGGGACUGAGACACGGCCCUUACUCCUACGGGAGGCAGCAGUGGGGAAUAUUGGACAAUGGACCGAGAGUCUGAUCCAGCAAUUCUGUGUGCACGAUGAAGUUUUUCGGAAUGUAAAGUGCUUUCAGUUGGGAAGAAAAAAAUGACGGUACCAACAGAAGAAGGGACGGCUAAAUACGUG
Molecule: ribosomal RNA, 454 nt
Filed under: uncultured bacterium
Lineage: Bacteria
Description: partial 16S ribosomal RNA
Rfam family: Bacterial small subunit ribosomal RNA
Source: RNAcentral